UUUUAAUGAUCGAACAGAUCAAAAUUUUAAACUUUUGCAUCUAAAUUUUAUCUUAAUCCAACAUCGAGGUCGCAAACUUUUUUUUUUAUUUGAACUAAAAAAAAAUAUUACGCUGUUAUCCCUAAGGUAAUUUUUUCUUAUAAUCAUCAACAAUGGAUCAUUUAAUCAUUUAUUUAUGUUUACUAUUAAAAAAAGUUAUUUUUAUUUUUCUAUCACCCCAAUAUAAUAUUUAAUUUUAUUUUAAUGUUAAUUUUUAUAUAAAUUUAAAAUAAAAUUAAAUAUAAAACUCUAUAGGGUCUUCUCGUCUUUUAAAAUUAUUUUAGCUUUUUUACUAAAAAAUAAAAUUCUAAUAAAAAAUAAGAGACAGUUAAUAUUUCAUUAAAUCUUUCAUACAAGUUUUCAAUUAAAAAACUAAUGAUUAUGCUACCUUUGUACAGUCAUAAUACUGCAGCCCUUUAAUAUAAAUCAGUGGGCAGAUUAGACUUUAAAUUAUACCUCAAA
RNAcentral lists this ribosomal RNA (501 nucleotides) under Erebia niphonica. RNAcentral's name for it is "Erebia neriene niphonica partial 16S rRNA". The record is from RNAcentral. Lineage: Eukaryota; Metazoa; Arthropoda; Insecta; Lepidoptera; Nymphalidae.